This 308-nucleotide small nuclear RNA is filed under the name Octodon degus (degu). RNAcentral's name for it is "7SK RNA (ENSODEG00000024176.1)". The stretch from base 1 to 267 matches the Rfam family "7SK RNA". From Rfam's summary of the family: 7SK was discovered as an abundant small nuclear RNA in the mid-70s but a possible function has only recently been suggested. Two independent studies have found that 7SK RNA binds the CDK9/cyclin T complex (known as elongation factor P-TEFb). Lineage: Eukaryota; Metazoa; Chordata; Mammalia; Rodentia; Octodontidae. The record is from Rfam by way of RNAcentral.
GAAUGUGAGGGUGAUCUGGCUGUGACCUCUAUCACUUCUCCAAUCACUAGAGUUGACUCAGCUCAUCAGGCUGGAGAGGCAGUUCCCCUUUCUCCCUCACUGCUGUGUGCUUGCCAGUUAAAGGAGAUGAGCUUCCAGGUAGAGAAGGAUCCUUUCCUUGGUCAAGUGUAUGGGUAGCUGAGCUCCCUGCUAGACCCUCCAAACAAGCUCUCUUGGUGAUAGCUGGGUUCUUCUUGCCAAGACCUAGUGCAAGGCACACCAGGUCCACGCAGGUUUAAAUUGACCACAUAGGGCUGGUGACAGAGGUG